GCCUGGGUGGCUCAGUCGGUUGAGCGUCUGACUUCAGCUCAGGUCAUGACCUCAUAGUUCGUGAGUUCGAGCCCCGCGUUGGGUU
Molecule: non-coding RNA, 85 nt
Organism: Felis catus (domestic cat)
Lineage: Eukaryota; Metazoa; Chordata; Mammalia; Carnivora; Felidae
Source: Rfam